AGCUUUGCGCAGUGGCAGUAUCGUAGCCAAUGAGGUUUAUCCGAGGCGCGAUUAUUGCUAAUUGAAAUGUCUCAAGUUCUAAACGUGUAUCUUUGAAGCAGUCUUGAGCCCUUGAAUACUGCAGAAGGUAUUUCCCAACCAAUAGG
Molecule: non-coding RNA, 146 nt
Organism: Rattus norvegicus (Norway rat)
Lineage: Eukaryota; Metazoa; Chordata; Mammalia; Rodentia; Muridae
Source: RefSeq, a predicted model, not a curated record